This is a long non-coding RNA of Amphiprion ocellaris (clown anemonefish), 763 nucleotides long. The record is from Ensembl. NCBI's taxonomy places the organism in Eukaryota, Metazoa, Chordata, Actinopteri, Pomacentridae.
CCGGUCCCUCCACGUCAGGCCUGAGCUCCUCUGUGACCAGUGGAAACUGGUUCAGGCCUUUUUGGAGUCCAGAUGAUAGUGACUCCGAUUAGUCCUGAAACUGGUGGAAGCUCUGAGCAGAGAAGUUCCAGCUGACAGGCAGCUCCCACUUCUUACUGCAGGGAUUGGAAAAAAAAAAAAAAACAAGAAAAAAAAAGAAAAAAAAGAAAGAAAAAAAAGAAAAAAAAAAAAAAACCAUCAAGAUCCCUGAACCUAAUAGUAAAAAUCCUCCUUCACAUGUCUUAGCGUCAUCAGAUAAUGUGGGAGGAACGGUAGGUAUGAGCACCUGACAAAUACAGGUGUGUUUGUUCUUCUUUAUCGGAGGUAAGUAUAAUUACAAUCGCACAUAUUUUCAUUUUCAAGUAUUAUCCAUGUUACUAACGUUAUUUCUUUCAUGUCGCUGCUUUCAUCAAAUUAAGGUAAGUUUUUACUUCAAAUGAAGCACUUAUUAAGGAUUUAAUAUCUGUUCCUGAUCAUUUAUAAUUGAAGCAUUUUACUGACAUUUGCACUUUCUGUUUUGUUUCAUCAUCCAUCAUCCAGGAGUUCUCUGAACAGAGCUCCUGGAUGAUGGACAGAGAAGACCGGACCGACCAGACCAGAAGGAUGGAUGACCAGGAACCAACUGGAGAGAGGAGGAGUGUUUUCAGUCAGCUGACUAAGUCAGCGCUCCACUUCAGACGCCCCUGCCUCCAACAGCACCCUCUCCAGCCACUGAGGGGCGUCC